GAUGAACGCUAGCUACAGGCUUAACACAUGCAAGUCGAGGGGCAGCGCAGUGUAGCAAUACAUGGGCGGCGACCGGCGCACGGGUGCGUAACGCGUAUCCAACCUUCCCGUUACUCAGGGAUAGCCUUCCGGAAGGGAGAUUAAUACCUGAUGGUGUUGAAAUUCCGCAUGUUAUUUCAACUAAAGAUUUAUCGGUAACGGAUGGGGAUGCGUGACAUUAGAUAGUAGGCGGGUAACGGCCCACCUAGUCUACGAUGUCUAGGGGUUCUGAGAGGAAGGUCCCCCANACUGGAACUGAGACACGGUCCAGACUCCUACGGGAGGCAGCAGUGAGGAAUAUUGGGUCAAUGGUCGGAAGACUGAACCAGCCAAGUAGCGUGAAGGAUGAAGGUUCUAUGGAUUGG
RNAcentral lists this ribosomal RNA (404 nucleotides) under uncultured bacterium. RNAcentral's name for it is "bacterial SSU rRNA". It matches the Rfam family "Bacterial small subunit ribosomal RNA", at positions 28 to 426 of the family's 1533-position model. The record is from RNAcentral.